This is a long non-coding RNA of Chenopodium quinoa (quinoa), 466 nucleotides long. RefSeq lists it as uncharacterized. The transcript has 3 exons. NCBI's taxonomy places the organism in Eukaryota, Viridiplantae, Streptophyta, Magnoliopsida, Caryophyllales, Amaranthaceae. The record is from RefSeq and is a predicted model, not a curated record.
CAUCCCUUAUGUGAGAAUACUAACUUAUGUGAGAACAAAUUUAGACCCUUGAAUUAGAUUCAUCUGACGGCUCUUAUUCAACCCACCUAAUUAAGGGUAACCGGGUAAUUUCACAGCUUGAAUGACUAUCCUCAAUCUUCUCAUUUUUCAUUUUCACUUUCUCUCUCUUCAUUACAUUUUCUCUCUCCUCCUUCAUAUUCUCUCUCUGCGAAAUCGUUUUUGAGCAAUCUUCUUCGCAUUGUUGCAUCGAUCUUGCUUCAAUCUUCUUCAAUUCACUCUUCAUAUACCUUGAUUGUGGAUAAUUAAGCAUUACACAGGAGAUUUCCUUAAUUUUGGUUUGGCAGCUGAACAAGCAAAAUCUGAAGGUUACAAAGUUGAGGAACUCUAUUGAAAAGGAGUCUGCUGCCAAUGCUGGUUCAUUAGGGGCGGCUAUUGUUGAUGUUGGUUCAUCAGGGGCGGCUGCUGU